GCGCCAGUAGCUCAGUUGGAUAGAGCGUAUGCCUCCGGAGCAUAAGGUCGUGGGUUCGAAUCCCUCCUGGCGUA
RNAcentral lists this transfer RNA (74 nucleotides) under Candidatus Hatepunaea meridiana. Its description in RNAcentral is "tRNA-Arg". It matches the Rfam family "tRNA". Rfam says of the family: Transfer RNA (tRNA) molecules are approximately 80 nucleotides in length. Lineage: Bacteria; Pseudomonadati; Candidatus Electryoneota; Candidatus Electryoneia; Candidatus Hatepunaeales; Candidatus Hatepunaeaceae. The record is from RNAcentral.